UCCCUGUGUCCAUUGUUAAGCACAAUUAUUGGCCUAAAAGAGGUUUUUAAUACCCAUUUUUAGGCUGCACUCCAGCUUAGGCAAUGCAGCAAGACUCCCGAUCUCUCUUCCUCUUUCUUUUCCUCUCUCUCUUUCUCUCUUUC
This is a long non-coding RNA of Sapajus apella (tufted capuchin), 143 nucleotides long. RefSeq lists it as uncharacterized. Lineage: Eukaryota; Metazoa; Chordata; Mammalia; Primates; Cebidae. The transcript is spliced from 3 exons. The record is from RefSeq and is a predicted model, not a curated record.